This 484-nucleotide ribosomal RNA is filed under the name uncultured bacterium. RNAcentral's name for it is "partial 16S ribosomal RNA". It matches the Rfam family "Bacterial small subunit ribosomal RNA", at positions 28 to 523 of the family's 1533-position model. The record is from RNAcentral.
GAUGAACGCUGGCGGCGUGCCUAAUACAUGCAAGUCGAACGAUGAAGCUAGAGCUUGCUCUGGUGGAUUAGUGGCGAACGGGUGAGUAACACGUGAGUAACCUGCCCCGAACUCUGGGAUAACUGCUGGAAACGGUAGCUAAUACUGGAUACGACCAACGAAGGCAUCUUCUGUUGGUGGAAAGAAUUUCGGUUCGGGAUGGACUCGCGGCCUAUCAGCUUGUUGGUGAGGUAACGGCUCACCAAGGCGACGACGGGUAGCCGGCCUGAGAGGGUGAUCGGCCACACUGGGACUGAGACACGGCCCAGACUCCUACGGGAGGCAGCAGUGGGGAAUAUUGCACAAUGGGCGCAAGCCUGAUGCAGCAACGCCGCGUGAGGGACGACGGCCUUCGGGUUGUAAACCUCUUUUAGUAGGGAAGAAGCGAAAGUGACGGUACCUGCAGAAAAAGCACCGGCUAACUACGUGCCAGCAGCCGCGGUAA